AAGUCGUAACAAGGUUUCCGUAGGUGAACCUGCGGAAGGAUCAUUUCCAAAAAAGCAUUGCCUAUUAUAUACACCUUAUGGUGUGUGAACAGUUGGAUAGAAAAAUCAUUUUACUCUCGAAGCGGAUUAGCAUCUCGAAUGCUACUGUGGAGAGAGGCCUUGAUGAACCCACAUCCUUUUUGUUUAUAUUGCGAGUGCAAACUCCAAUAUCUACAAAGGGACGUUAACAUAAAGUCAUUCUAUAUUUCUAAGUCAAAAAGACUUAUUGCUACAUCUCGUAUGUACAAUAUGUCAAUUUACUCUAGUAAAUAUACGACAACUUUUAACGGUGGAUCUCUUGGCUCGU
RNAcentral lists this unclassified non-coding RNA (346 nucleotides) under fungal sp. RNAcentral describes it as "partial internal transcribed spacer region". The stretch from base 1 to 46 matches the Rfam family "Eukaryotic small subunit ribosomal RNA", at positions 1786 to 1831 of the family's 1831-position model. Lineage: Eukaryota; Fungi. The record is from RNAcentral.